AUGGCUUUCGCUAAUGGUCUCAAGUUAGCUGCCCUCUGUGUGCUGGUCCUGACCAUGGGCCAGAUGAUGGCAGUUACUGAUGCAUCGGCUCCGCUCCUGCAGUUCGCAGAGCAGGAGCGCUCAACCUCUGAAGAUUGCCUCUGCAGCCCUGCUACAUGGUGGUGUUGCCCUCCAGCAAGCGGAGUCGCAAAACCCUCCGAAGAUUGCCUCUGCAGCCCUGCGACAUGGUGGUGUUGCCCUCCAGCAAGCGGAGUCGCAAAACCCUCCGAGUUUUGCACCUGCACCCCUGAAAAAUGGUGGUGUUGCCCUCCAAUAAGCGGAGUCGCAAAACCCUCUGAGGAUUGCCUCUGCAGCCCUGCUACAUGGUUUUGUUGCCCUGAAGCAAGCGGAGUCGCAAAACCCUCCGAGGAUUGA
Molecule: ribosomal RNA, 414 nt
Filed under: Triticum aestivum (bread wheat)
Lineage: Eukaryota; Viridiplantae; Streptophyta; Magnoliopsida; Poales; Poaceae
Description: partial small subunit ribosomal RNA
Source: RNAcentral